Molecule: ribosomal RNA, 382 nt
Filed under: uncultured microorganism
Description: bacterial SSU rRNA
Rfam family: Archaeal small subunit ribosomal RNA
Source: RNAcentral
GUGCAGCAGGCGCGAAUACUUUACAAUGUGCGAAAGCACGAUAAGGGAACUCUGAGUGCCUCCUAAGGAGGCUGUUCAGGUGUCUAAAAGCACCUGAAGGAAGGGCUGGGUAAGACCGGUGCCAGCCGCCGCGGUAACACCGGCAGCCCAAGUGGUAGCCACGUUUAUUGGGUCUAACGCGUCCGUGGCCGGCCGGGUAAGUUCCUUGGGAAAUUUGGCUGCUUAACAGUCAAGCUUUCAGGGAAUACUGCCCGGCUUGGGACCGGGAGAGGUCAGAGGUACUCCAGGGGUAGGGGUGAAAUCCAUUAAUCCUUGGGGGACCACCGGUAGCGAAGGCGUCUGACCAGACCGGGUCCGACGGUGAGGGACGAAGGCUAGGGGC